CUUUAGGAGGGUACCGGCCAAACGCGCCCAGGGGACUGGGAUGGGGUGGGAACGCGGCCGCCGCUGCCCCGAUGCGCGCCGUGGAGCCGUGUUUGCUGCGGGCUCAGGCGCCCCCCUGCCCGCACGCAAUCACGCCCACGUUGUCCAAAAACGGGCGUUUCUGUUGAAAAGCCACCGUUGGGGUGCCGGGUGUUGCGUUCCCGCAGGGGGUACGUUGUGGGUCAGCGGCACAGCACGCAGCUGUGGGUAACAGGGAAGGAAUUAAUAGCCUGCGCUUUAACAUCUCGGCGUGUUUUCAGUUGGCCUUUAUUAAACAAUGGGACAACUACUUCUUUUCAAAGUGUAUAUCAGCGCAUAAAUUAUUGUCUAAGUACCUGCUGGAGGAUUAGUAGGGUCCAAGAUCAAUGCUUUCGUAAUCUUAUGGGUAGCGCAGCAUCCCUGAGGUAGGAUUCAGAUGGAGUUUAUGACAGCUGAAAACUUCAAGUUACUUACAAGUGAUACUCCUUUUAGUCCUAAGUGCACAUCGGUGCCGAACACGAAUUGUAAACUGUGAAGUAACUACUAUGGAAAAGAUUAAGUAAAGCAUUGGAGGCGGAUGAUUUUGACAAUAAAGAGGGUGUAUGUGACAGUGAAUGCCUCAGGUGGUGGAUUGAGGGGAAAAAAAAAUUGUCAGCAGACCUACACACAACCUGUCAACAGCAGAAAGAGUGGAUUUGAGUCUCCUGCCAGAAAUCUGAAAAGGAUGCAGUUGUGGAGCAUCAGUACAAGUAUAGACACCAGAACAAAGGUUUUUCACUGUUUGAAAUUACUCCAGAUUUUAAAAUUAAAUACAACAAAAUAGAAAAAAAUAUCCUAAAUACUUCAAAAGACAUUGCACAAAUUUAUGUCUUAUCUAACCCUGAUAUGAGUGAGAAAGCACGAUCCCUUUCCUGAUAUCUGUUUGUCCAUCUAGCAUCUGAGCCCUGUUUUAAAAAUCGAGGUGUCCUUUACAUGCAUUUGAUGAAUUGUACUCAUGACAAAAACUUGGCACGGCUUAAAGAUAUUCCCGAUAUGUGAAGGUCACAACUAUUUAAAGAUAAAGCCACCAGUGCCCACAUGGAGGUGUAGUAAAUGUGCUAAGCUGCUGUAUAUUUUAUUUUCUGAAAUACUUGCCUACUCUGAUAAUUGCUUUCAGGACAUGAUAGUACUCAAGUUCUGUCUUGCCACUUGAAGGGCUGUGUUAUCAACUAGCCAGAAACCUGAAAACUUACAUAUCCUGCACAAAAUAAAGCAGAUGACAGUCAUUUUCAAUUAGAGCACAAAAGUGUGAAGUCUUAACACAGUUUUCUAUUUUUGCCGCUAAGAAAAUAUGAAUAUUACUGUAAAGUUGGGUGCCAUGCCGGGAGACCAAAAUUGCCUGCAGAAGGGGCAUAGCAAGGCGAUGUAACCCCUGUAACUAUUCCAUAUUCCUCUUCUGCUGUGCUUCAUACCAGACCUGUGGCUGAGAAAGUUUAAAUUCCCCAGUGUUACUUCAGCUCCACUGCUGACCCUGCCAUGCUUCUGUGCCUCUCACCUCCGUACGCAAGGCGUUUGGCUGAUGUCUGGCUGCCUGGUGGGUGGUUCAAGGAACAUCGGCACUGCUCUUGUGGGGUAUUUUAUGCCACGUAACUGUCUGCCGGUUAAGAGUUGUCCAUUCUCCAUGUCUAAAUCUCCUCAGGAGAUUUAGGGCACCAUGAGACCUGUAGUCAGUGGAGGUCAGGUCUCCAGGGAUCUGAGCUGAGAACGAUUGCAGAGUGCUUGUUAGAGCUUUGUUUUGCUCUGCCCGUGCUUUGCGCAUCCGUGUUUUAAGAAGUACAGUAGAAUUUAGAAGACAUUUAUUCACUGUCAAAUAUGGAGCUUCCAAAGUAGGUCAGUGGCCCAAUGAGAUGUUUAUAGGGGAAAACACUGCAAGACGAAGAACUUGUAUUAAAACAAACCAAACAUAUAUUUAUCACUGCUGUUUGAAUUCAGUGUUUUACUUUUAUCAUGCAUGCUGUUCCUAUUUCCAGUACCGUAAUCUAUCAUAAAAAUAAUGGUCUGUGCCUUUAUAAACUCCCCUGCUGCUCUCAUAGGGUUGUAGAAGUUGGCUAUCUACAUGAAAAUAAAAGCAAGUAUCUGC
Molecule: long non-coding RNA, 2137 nt
Organism: Cygnus olor (mute swan)
Lineage: Eukaryota; Metazoa; Chordata; Aves; Anseriformes; Anatidae
Exons: 3
Source: RefSeq, a predicted model, not a curated record